RNAcentral lists this ribosomal RNA (415 nucleotides) under uncultured bacterium. RNAcentral describes it as "bacterial SSU rRNA". It matches the Rfam family "Bacterial small subunit ribosomal RNA", at positions 355 to 787 of the family's 1533-position model. The record is from RNAcentral.
UGGGGAAUCUUGCACAAUGGGGGAAACCCUGAUGCAGCGACGCCGCGUGAGCGAUGAAGCCCUUCGGGGUGUAAAGCUCUUUCGGCAGGGAAGAUGAUGACGGUACCUGCAGAAGCAGCUGCGGCUAACUACGUGCCAGCAGCCGCGGUAAUACGUAGGCAGCGAGCGUUGUUCGGAGUUACUGGGCGUAAAGGGUGUGUAGGCGGCCUGUUAAGUUCCGUGUGAAAUCUCCCGGCUCAACCGGGAGGGUGCGCGGAAUACUGACGGGCUAGAGUGCGGGAUGGGAGAGUAGAAUUCCUGGUGUAGCGGUGAAAUGCGUAGAUAUCAGGAGGAAUACCGGUGGUGUAGACGGCUCUCUGGACCGCAACUGACGCUGAAACACGAAAGCGUGGGUAGCAAACAGGAUUAGAUACCC